CCCCUCUUGGGGUUGCACCUGAAGAGUUUCCAGUACUCUACCAGUCUUGGCUAUGGGAGGGAGAAUCAAGCAGAGGCCUACCCAUUCCAUUCCUAGCUUGGCCAGUAGCUAGCUAGUGGAAGGAGAUCUGCUACAAGU
This is a small nucleolar RNA of Ornithorhynchus anatinus (platypus), 138 nucleotides long. Lineage: Eukaryota; Metazoa; Chordata; Mammalia; Monotremata; Ornithorhynchidae. The record is from RefSeq and is a predicted model, not a curated record.